RNAcentral lists this transfer RNA (71 nucleotides) under Loxodonta africana (African savanna elephant). It matches the Rfam family "tRNA". Rfam says of the family: Transfer RNA (tRNA) molecules are approximately 80 nucleotides in length. The record is from Rfam by way of RNAcentral. Lineage: Eukaryota; Metazoa; Chordata; Mammalia; Proboscidea; Elephantidae.
GCAGUGGUGGCUUGGUGGUAGAAUUCUCGCCUCCCACGCAGAAGGCCCAGGUUUGAUUCCUGGCCAAUGCA